GUCUUUUAGAAAAUAAUUUAAAGUCUAAUCUGCCCACUGAUUGUUAAUUGAAGGGCUGCAGUAUAUUGACUGUACAAAGGUAGCAUAAUCAUUAGUCAUUUAAUUGAUGACUUGUAUGAAGGAUUGGAUGAAAUAUAAACUGUCUCUUAUUUAAUUAUAAAAUUUAAUUUUUUUAUCAAAAAGUUAAAAUAGCUUAAAAAGACGAGAAGACCCUAUAGAGUUUUAUUAAUAUAUUAAUUAAGAUUAUAUGUAAAAUAAAUUUAAAAUUGAAUUUAUUAAUUUUAUUGGGGUGAUAAAAAAAUAUAUUUAACUUUUUUUAAAAUAAAACAUUUAUAAGUGGUUAAAUGAUCCAAUAAUGUUGAUUAUAAGAAUAAAUUACCUUAGGGAUAACAGCGUAAUUUUUUUUUUUAGUUCAAAUAAAAAAAAGAGUUUGCGACCUCGAUGUUGGAUUAAGAUAAAAUUUAAAUGCAGAAGUU
This 476-nucleotide ribosomal RNA is filed under the name Acrapex soyema. Its description in RNAcentral is "partial 16S ribosomal RNA". Lineage: Eukaryota; Metazoa; Arthropoda; Insecta; Lepidoptera; Noctuidae. The record is from RNAcentral.